GUGUCAGCCGCCGCGGUAAGACAGAGGGUGCAAACGUUGCUCGGAAUUACUGGGCGUAAAGCGCGUGUAGGCGGACGGGCAAGUCAGGUGUGAAAUCCCCGAGCUCAACUUGGGAACUGCACUUGAAACUACCUGUCUUGAGUGAUGGAGAGGGCAGCGGAAUUCCUGGUGUAGAGGUGAAAUUCGUAGAUAUCAGGAGGAACACCGGUGGCGAAGGCGGCUGCCUGGACAUCCACUGACGCUGAGACGCGAAAGCGUGGGGAGCAAACAGGAUUAGAUACCCCCGUAGUCC
Molecule: ribosomal RNA, 292 nt
Filed under: uncultured bacterium
Lineage: Bacteria
Description: partial 16S ribosomal RNA
Rfam family: Bacterial small subunit ribosomal RNA
Source: RNAcentral